CACCUCACAUUCCAGGAUGUUUACCCCUAGAUGAGUGAUCACACCAUCGUGAUUAUGUAGUUCAUGAAGAUCUUUUUUGUAUACUUCUGUUUAUUCUUGCCACCUCUUCUUAAUAUCUUCUACUUUUGUGAGGCCCAUACCAUUUCUGUCCUUUAUUGAGCCCAUCUUUGCAUGAAAUGUUCCCUCUGUAUCUCUGAUUUUCUUGAAGAGAUCUCUAGUCUUUCCCAUUCUAUUGUUUUCCUCUAUUUCUUUGCAUUGAUCACUGAGGAAGGCUUUCUUAUCUCUCCUUGCUAUCCUUUGGAACUCUGAAUUCAAAUGGGUAUAUCUUUCCUUUUCCCUUUGCUUUUCACUUCCCUUCUUUUCACAGCUAUUUGUAAGGCCUCCUCAGACAGCCAAUUUGGUUUUCUGCACUUCUUUUUUUUUGGCGAUGGUCUUGUCACGAACUUCCGUCCAUAGUUCAUCACGCACUCUGUCUAUCAGAUCUAGUCCCUUAAACCUAUUUUUCACUUCCACUGUAUAAUCAUUUGGCGUUUGACUUAGGUCUAACCUGAAUGGUCUAGUGGUUUUCCCCACUUUCUUUAAGUUUGAAUUUGGCAAUAAGGAAUUAAUGAUCUGAGCCAGUCAGUUCCUGGUCUUGUUUUUGCUGACUGUAUAGAGCUUCUCUAUCUUUGGCUGCAAAGAAUAUAAUCAAUUUGAUUUUGAUGUUGACCAUCUGGUGAUGUCCAUGUGUAGAGUCUUCUCUUAUGUUGUUGGAAGAGGGUGUUUGCUAUGACCAGUGCAUUCUCUGGGCAAAACUCUAUUAGCCUUUGCCCUGCUUCAUUCUGUACUCCAAGGCCAAAUUUGCCUAUUGUUCCAGAUGUUUCUUGACUUCCUACUUUUGCAUUCCAGUCCCCUAUAAUGAAAAGAACAUCUUUUUGGGGUGUUAGUUCUAAAAGGUCUUGUAGGUCUUCAUAGAAUCAUUCAACUUCAGCUUCUUCAGUGUUACUGGUUGGGGCAUAGAUUUAGAUUACAGUAAUAUUGAAUGGUUUGCCUUGGAAAUGAACAGAGAUCAUUCUGUCUUUUUUGAGACUGUAUCCAAGUACUGCAUUUUGGACUCUUUUGUUGAUUAUGAUGGCUACUCCAUUUCUUCUGAGGGAUUCCUAUCUGCAGUAGUAGAUAUAAUGGUCAUCUGAGUUAAAUUCACCCAUUCCAGUCCAUUUCAGUUCGCUGAUUCCUAGAAUGUCGACAUUCACUCUUGCCAUCUCCUGUUUGACCACUUUCAAUUUGCCUUGAUUCAUGGACCUGACAUUUCAGGUUCCUAUGCAAUAUUGUUCUUUACAGAAUCAGACCUUGCUUCUAUCACCAGUCACAUCCACAACUGGGUAUUGUUUUUGCUUUGGCUCCAUCCCUUCAUUCUUUCUGGAGUUAUUUCUCCACUGAUCUCCAGUAGCAUAUUGGGCACCUACCAACCUGAGGAGUUCAUCUUUCAGCGUCCUAUCUUUUGUCUUUUCAUACUGUUCAUGGAGUUCUCACAAGAAAACUGGAGUGAUUUGACAUUCCCUCUUCUAGUGGGUGACGUUUUGUCAGAACUCUCCACUAUGAUCCAUCCAUCCUGUGUGGUCCUGCAUUUCAUGGCUCAGAGCUUCAUUGAGUUAUGCAAAUCCCUGUGCUACAACAAGGCUGUGAUCCAUGAGGGGAUCACACUUUAUAUAAUAACUUAUUAAUUACAAAAUAUCUUUGUUGAUUUUUGGAUAUUCUACACAAACAAUUCUGUCAUCUGUGAAUGUAAACAGUUUUAUUUUUUCCGUGUGAAUCUCUAUAUCUUUUAUUUCCUGUCUGUUUCAUUGCAUUAGCUACGAUUCCCAGUACAAUGUUGAAAAGUGGUGGUGACAGAAAGACUUUCUUGCCCUGUUACUGAUCUGACUAGGAAAGACUUGAGCUUAUCAUCAUUAACUAUAAUAUUAGAGUUUUAGAAUUUUUGUAAAUAUACUUUAUCAAUACAGAUAGUUUCCCUGUGUUCUAGUUUACUCAGAAUG
Bos taurus (domestic cattle) is the source of this 2015-nucleotide long non-coding RNA. The record is from Ensembl. Lineage: Eukaryota; Metazoa; Chordata; Mammalia; Artiodactyla; Bovidae.